RNAcentral lists this ribosomal RNA (253 nucleotides) under uncultured bacterium. RNAcentral's name for it is "partial 16S ribosomal RNA". It matches the Rfam family "Bacterial small subunit ribosomal RNA", at positions 524 to 776 of the family's 1533-position model. The record is from RNAcentral.
UACGAAGGGGGCUAGCGUUGUUCGGAAUUACUGGGCGUAAAGCGCACGUAGGUGGAUUUGUUAGUCAGGGGUGAAAUCCCGGGGCUCAACCUCGGAACUGCCUUUGAUACUGCAAGUCUUGAGUCCGGAAGAGGUGAGUGGAAUUCCUAGUGUAGAGGUGAAAUUCGUAGAUAUUAGGAAGAACACCAGUGGCGAAGGCGGCUCACUGGUCCGGUACUGACGCUGAGGUGCGAAAGCGUCGGGAGCAAACAGG